This is a ribosomal RNA of Bos grunniens (domestic yak), 115 nucleotides long. The record is from Ensembl. NCBI's taxonomy places the organism in Eukaryota, Metazoa, Chordata, Mammalia, Artiodactyla, Bovidae.
GUCUACGGCCAUACCACCCUGAACGCGCCGAUCUCGUCUGAUCUCGGAAGCUAAGCAGGGUCGGGCUUGGUUAGUACUUGGAUGGGAGACCGCCUGGGAAUACCGGUUAUAAAAA